UACAGAGGUCCCGAGCGUUGUUCGGAUUCAUUGGGCGUAAAGGGUGCGUAGGUGGUCUUCUAAGUUUGAUGUGAAAUCCCGGGGCUUAACCCUGGAAUUGCAUUGAAUACUGGAGGACUUGAGUACCGGAGAGGAAACUGGAAUUUACGGUGUAGCAGUGAAAUGCGUAGAGAUCGUAAGGAAGACCAGUGGCGAAGGCGAGUUUCUGGACGGUAACUGACGCUGAGGCACGAAGGCCAGGGGAGCAAACGGG
This 253-nucleotide ribosomal RNA is filed under the name uncultured bacterium. Its description in RNAcentral is "partial 16S ribosomal RNA". It matches the Rfam family "Bacterial small subunit ribosomal RNA", at positions 524 to 776 of the family's 1533-position model. The record is from RNAcentral.